RNAcentral lists this long non-coding RNA (294 nucleotides) under Malus domestica (apple). RNAcentral's name for it is "long non-coding RNA (MDOM_LNC001980)". The record is from RNAcentral. Lineage: Eukaryota; Viridiplantae; Streptophyta; Magnoliopsida; Rosales; Rosaceae.
GUUUUGGUGAAUUCGUUCCCCUCACAACAACCGAUGAACCUAAGUUGUCCGAUUCAGUUUGAUAAUUUUGUGGAUUUUAAUAGUAGUACUUGAGUUUGAUCAAGAAAGUUGUAGCUCUACAGUUGAUAAGAGCGUUUAUCUUUACGCCUACAGUUAAUAAGAGCGUUUAUCUUUACGCCCGAUGUCCUCCCUUCAAAUUCACGUCUGCCAAUAUCUCACUUGUAACAAAAGAUUGUGGUAAGAGAUAUUUAUUUAAGACAAUACCUAUUUUAUUCGUUAUAAUCCAAUGAUCAA